AUUGAACGCUGGCGGCAGGCCUAACACAUGCAAGUCGAGCGGUAACAUAGGGAGCUUGCUCCCGGGUGACGAGCGGCGGACGGGAGAGUAAUGUCUGGGAAACUGCAUGAUGGAGGGGGAUAACUACUGGAAACGGUAGCUAAUACCGCAUAAAGUCGUAAGACCAAAGGGGGGGACCUUCGGGCCUCGUGCCAUCAGAUGUGCCCAGAUGGGAUGAGCUAGUAGGUGGGGUAAUGGCUCACCUAGGCGACGAUCCCUGGCUGGUCUGAGAGGAUGACCAGCCACACUGGAACUGAGACACGGUCCAGACUCCUACGGGAGGCAGCAGUGGGGAAUAUUGCACAAUGGGCGCAAGCCUGAUGUAGCCAUGCCGCGUGUAUGAAGAAGGCCUUCGGGUUGUAAAGUACUUUCAGCGGGGAGGAAGGUGUUGAGGUUAAUAACCUCAGCAAUUGACGCUACCCGCAGAAGAAGCACCGGCUAACUCCGUGCCAGCCGCCGCGGUAA
Molecule: ribosomal RNA, 504 nt
Filed under: uncultured bacterium
Lineage: Bacteria
Description: partial 16S ribosomal RNA
Rfam family: Bacterial small subunit ribosomal RNA
Source: RNAcentral